GGCUCGGUAGCUUAGUUGGUAAAGCACUUGCCUAGCGAAUAAGGGUUGUGAGUUCAAAUCUUACCUGAGCUG
Aedes albopictus (Asian tiger mosquito) is the source of this 72-nucleotide non-coding RNA. Lineage: Eukaryota; Metazoa; Arthropoda; Insecta; Diptera; Culicidae. The record is from Rfam.